This 484-nucleotide ribosomal RNA is filed under the name uncultured bacterium. Its description in RNAcentral is "partial 16S ribosomal RNA". It matches the Rfam family "Bacterial small subunit ribosomal RNA", at positions 28 to 507 of the family's 1533-position model. The record is from RNAcentral.
AGUGAACGCUGGCGGCAUGCUUUACACAUGCAAGUCGAACGGCAGCGCGGUCUGCGCUCGGGCUGCGGGUGGGGGACUGGCGGGUAGUGCAGCAGAACGUCCGCAGCUGCUGUUUAGAGCGGGGCGAAGUAGGGAAUAAUACCCCAUUAGAGCUUACGGUGUACGCGUGGGACCGGGGGACCUUCGGCCAUUGCGGCGGCCGAUGUCGGAUUAUCUAGUUGGCGGGGUAAAGGCUUACCAAGGCGACGAUCCGUAGCUGGUCUGAGAGGACGACCAGCCACACUGGGACUGAGACACGGCCCAGACUCCUACGGGAGGCAGCAGUGGGGAAUAUUGGAUAAUGGGGGCAACCCUGAUCCAGCCAUGCCGCGUGCGGGAAGAAGGCCUUCGGGUUGUAAACCGCUUUUGUUGGGGAAGAAAACCUGUGGGCUAAUACCCCGCGGGUAUGACGGUACCGGAAGAAUAAGCACCGGCUAACUACGUG